GACGAACGCUGGCGGCGUGCUUAACACAUGCAAGUCGAACGGAAAGGCCCUGCUUUUGUGGGGUGCUCGAGUGGCGAACGGGUGAGUAACACGUGAGUGACCUGCCCUUGACUUUGGGAUAACUUCAGGAAACUGGGGCUAAUACCGGAUAGGAGCUCCUGCUGCAUGGGGGGGGUUGGAAAGUUUCGGCGGUUGGGGAUGGACUCGCGGCUUAUCAGCUUGUUGGUGGGGUAGUGGCUUACCAAGGCUUUGACGGGUAGCCGGCCUGAGAGGGUGACCGGCCACAUUGGGACUGAGAUACGGCCCAGACUCCUACGGGAGGCAGCAGUGGGGAAUAUUGCACAAUGGGCGGAAGCCUGAUGCAGCAACGCCGCGUGCGGGAUGACGGCCUUCGGGUUGUAAACCGCUUUCGCCUGUGACGAAGCGUGAGUGACGGUAAUGGGUAAAGAAGCACCGGCUAACUACGUG
This 468-nucleotide ribosomal RNA is filed under the name uncultured bacterium. RNAcentral's name for it is "partial 16S ribosomal RNA". It matches the Rfam family "Bacterial small subunit ribosomal RNA", at positions 28 to 507 of the family's 1533-position model. The record is from RNAcentral.